GACGAACGCUGGCGGCGUGCUUAACACAUGCAAGUCGAACGGAAAGGCCCUGCUUUUGUGGGGUGCUCGAGUGGCGAACGGGUGAGUAACACGUGAGUAGCCUGCCCUUGACUUUGGGAUAACUUCAGGAAACUGGGGCUAAUACCGGAUAGGAGCUCCUGCUGCAUGGUGGGGGUUGGAAAGUUUCGGCGGUUGGGGAUGGACUCGCGGCUUAUCAGCUUGUUGGUGGGGUAGUGGCUUACCAAGGCUUUGACGGGUAGCCGGCCUGAGAGGGUGACCGGCCACAUUGGGACUGAGAUACGGCCCAGACUCCUACGGGAGGCAGCAGCGGGGAAUAUUGCACAAUGGGCGGAAGCCUGAUGCAGCAACGCCGCGUGCGGGAUGACGGCCUUCGGGUUGUAAACCGCUUUCGCCUGUGACGAAGCGUGAGUGACGGUAAUGGGUAAAGAAGCACCGGCUAACUACGUG
This 468-nucleotide ribosomal RNA is filed under the name uncultured bacterium. Its description in RNAcentral is "partial 16S ribosomal RNA". It matches the Rfam family "Bacterial small subunit ribosomal RNA", at positions 28 to 507 of the family's 1533-position model. The record is from RNAcentral.